GCCUAACACAUGCAAGUCGAGCGGUAGAGAGGAGCUUGCUUCUCUUGAGAGCGGCGGACGGGUGAGUAAUGCCUAGGAAUCUGCCUAGUGGUGGGGGAUAACGUUCGGAAACGGACGCUAAUACCGCAUACGUCCUACGGGAGAAAGCGGGGGACCUUCGGGCCUCGCGCCAUUAGAUGAGCCUAGGUCGGAUUAGCUAGUUGGUGAGGUAACGGCUCACCAAGGCGACGAUCCGUAACUGGUCUGAGAGGAUGAUCAGUCACACUGGAACUGAGACACGGUCCAGACUCCUACGGGAGGCAGCAGUGGGGAAUAUUGGACAAUGGGCGAAAGCCUGAUCCAGCCAUGCCGCGUGUGUGAAGAAGGUCUUCGGAUUGUAAAGCACUUUAAGUUGGGAGGAAGGGUAGUAACUUAAUACGUUGCUAUUUUGACGUUACCGACAGAAUAAGCACCGGCGAAU
Molecule: ribosomal RNA, 460 nt
Filed under: Pseudomonas sp. Is-025
Lineage: Bacteria; Pseudomonadati; Pseudomonadota; Gammaproteobacteria; Pseudomonadales; Pseudomonadaceae
Description: bacterial SSU rRNA
Rfam family: Bacterial small subunit ribosomal RNA
Source: RNAcentral